UCCAGGGAUGGUGACUCCACCAUUUCCCCAGCUGCUCUGUCCUGUGAAGGCUGUGACACCAGAGCCUCUGGACUUUCAUCCUUGGAUGUGAAACCCUGCCCAGCCCCACCUCAGCUGCCUGAAUCUUCUUUUCCCUGCCUUGGAGGGAGAGUCAAGGACUUCAUUUCAGGGAGCUACUGGAAGACUGAAACUCAAAAUAGCAACUGCUGUUUGCAUUCUGAGAAGUAGCCCCAGCCUUCUGCUUCCACCCAUGUCAGAAAGGAUUUUAGGACUGGACCUAAGGUUUCUGACCCUGAAUCUAAAUUUCAGUAAGUGUACAUUAUUUGAAUAAUUAAGAAUUGAUCUAUUUAUUAAAAAAAUGUAGAGUCAAAACAA
Non-coding RNA from Lonchura striata (white-rumped munia), 375 nucleotides. The record is from RefSeq and is a predicted model, not a curated record. Lineage: Eukaryota; Metazoa; Chordata; Aves; Passeriformes; Estrildidae.